Molecule: ribosomal RNA, 503 nt
Filed under: uncultured bacterium
Lineage: Bacteria
Description: partial 16S ribosomal RNA
Rfam family: Bacterial small subunit ribosomal RNA
Source: RNAcentral
GAUGAACGCUAGCGGCAGGCCUAACUCAUGCAAGUCGAGGGGUAGCAGGAUUAAGCUUGCUUAAUUGCUGACGACCGGCGCACGGGUGCGUAACGCGUAUGCAACCUACCUUAUACUGGGGUAUAGCCCGGAGAAAUUCGGAUUAAUCCCCCAUAGUACUAAUGAAUCGCUUGGUUUAUUAGUUAAAGCAUUGCGGUAUAAGAUGGGCAUGUGUCCUAUUAGCUAGAUGGUGAGGUAACGGCUCACCAUGGCUACGAUAGGUAGGGGGCCUGGGAGUGGUGUCCGCGACAAUGGUACGGCAACACGGACCAGGCUCCGAAAGGAGGCAGACGUGAGUAAUAUUGGGCACUGGGCGGAAGCCUGGACCAGGCGUGCAGCGUGCAGAAAGAAUCCCCUAUGGGUUGUAGACUGCUUUAAUUUGGGAAUAAACCUCUUUACGUGUAGAGAGCUGAAGGUACCAAAUGAAUAAGCACCGGCUAACUCCGUGCCAGCCGCCGCCGUAA